This 1249-nucleotide long non-coding RNA is filed under the name Cavia porcellus (domestic guinea pig). RNAcentral describes it as "lncRNA (ENSCPOG00000037559.1)". The record is from RNAcentral. Lineage: Eukaryota; Metazoa; Chordata; Mammalia; Rodentia; Caviidae.
GCCAUACCAGGUAGGGCUGAACUAGGGUCACCAGGCUCUCUUCUCAAGGGAGCAGCUGUGAGCUCUGAGACUAGAAGGGGUAUCCAUGGACACAGGGCACUGAGGGCCUCAAGUGUGGCCCUUGUGCUUAUCUGCUCUGGCCCACCUGUUAUCCUCACAGCCAUGAUGCUGCCGUCACAGUCACAGCCCCUGCUGCCCAGCUUGGACACGAGGGAGCUGGCAGUCCAGCAGCAGAACUUCAUCAACCAACAGGCGCUGCUCCUGGCCCAGCAGAUGACCAACCAGGCCAUGAGCCUGUCUCUAGAGCAGCAGACUCAGCAACGCCAGCACCAAGCCCUGGCCUCCACAGCUGCCUCCCCAGCACCACCCCCAGCUGUCGCUCCCAAGACCAAGAAGCCUCCUGCACCCCAGAGAGAGCCACCCCAGAGGGAGCCAGAAUAUGACUUGGAAUCGCCAGGUCCCUGCUCAGGGGUAAGGAGCCAAGGCUGUGUGGACAGUGAGUGACACUUGGGGUGGAGACAGUAGGUGCCAGGGUUACAGGGGUGAGACCUGAGCGGGAAUGUUUCGGGGAGGGGGGUGAUGUAUGUGUGGGCGUGUGGCAGGCGGGGCUGCUCUUCACCUCUCCCUUCUCCCAGGAGACUUCAGAGGGGACUGAAGACAGGACCUGGCACCCCAAGACCUUCCAGCAGAAAAGGGACUACUUCCAGAAGAUGGGUGAGAGUAUUCAGUGUGGCCUGGCCGUCGAGGGCUGGGUGUCAGCAUGGACCCUCCAGGAGCCCAGACAGGCCGGCCAGUGGAGCUGUGGGGAAAAUGGGAGUGACAAAAGACCAUCUGGGGUACUUACAGGGCAGCAGCAGAUCAAGGUGAAGAUGGUGAAGCCUCCAGCCAAGGUCCAGAUCCCUCAGGGCGAGGAGGUGGAGGAGGAGGAGGAGGAGGAGGAGGAAGAGAACUGCGAAGCGCCGCCCCCUCCUCCUCCCCCAGUCGUGAAGAAGCCAAUGAAACAAAGCGGAACCAAUGCUGCUUCAGAAAAGGUGGAGGCUGAGCUCCCCCUGGCUGAAAAGGCCAGGCCUGCCCCAAGCAGGAGGCCUGCAGUGAGCAGCUCAGACCCCACGCCACACUUGGAACCCAGCAGGGAAAUUCGCAACAUCAUCCGCAUGUACCAGAGCCGCCCAGGGCCUGUGCCUGUGCCUGUACAGCCCAUCAGGUGGGCUCAGGAGCUGUGGCCAGGUCUUUACUGCCCAGGGAGUCA